AGAGUUUGAUCAUGGCUCAGAACGUACGCUGGCGGCACGCCUAACACAUGCAAGUCGAACGAAGUAGCAAUACUUAGUGGCAGACGGGUGAGUAACAUGUAGGUAUCUGCCCUUUGGCCUGGAAUAACACGAGGAAACUUGUGCUAAUACCGGAUAAGUCUUUACGGAGAAAGCUUUAUGCACCAUUGGAUGAGCCUGCACUUGAUUAGUUUGUUGGUGGGGUAAUGGCCUACCAAGACUGUGAUCAAUAGCUGAUUUGAGAGGAUGAUCAGCCACAUUGGGACUGAGACACGGCCCAAACUCCUACGGGAGGCAGCAGUGGGGAAUCUUGCACAAUGGAGGAAACUCUGAUGCAGCGAUGCCGCGUGAGUGAAGAAGGCCCUUGGGUUGUAAAGCUCUUUCGUCGGGGAAGAAAAUGACUGUACCCGAAUAAGAAGGUCCGGCUAACUUCGUGCCAGCAGCCGCGGUAAUACGAAGGGACCUAGCGUAGUUCGGAAUUACUGGGCUUAAAGAGUUCGUAGGUGGUUGAAAAAGUUAGUGGUGAAAUCCCAGAGCUUAACUCUGGAACUGCCAUUAAAACUUUUCAGCUAGAGUAUGAUAGAGGAAAGCAGAAUUUCUAGUGUAGAGGUGAAAUUCGUAGAUAUUAGAAAGAAUACCAAUUGCGAAGGCAGCUUUCUGGAUCAUUACUGACACUGAGGAACGAAAGCAUGGGUAGCGAAGAGGAUUAGAUACCCUCGUAGUCCAUGCCGUAAACGAUGUGUGUUAGACGUUGGAAAUUUAUUUUCAGUGUCGCAGGGAAACCGAUAAACACACCGCCUGGGGAGUACGACCGCAAGGUUAAAACUCAAAUGAAUUGACGGGGACCCGCACAAGUAGUGGAGCAUGUGGUUUAAUUCGAAGAUACGCGCAGAACCUUACCAACACUUGACAUGUUCGUCGCGACUCUAAGAGAUUAGAGUUUUCGGUUCGGCCGGACGAAACACA
RNAcentral lists this ribosomal RNA (984 nucleotides) under marine metagenome. RNAcentral describes it as "bacterial SSU rRNA". It matches the Rfam family "Bacterial small subunit ribosomal RNA", at positions 8 to 1036 of the family's 1533-position model. The record is from RNAcentral.